UGCAGUCGACGGCAGCACGGGUGCUUGCACCUGGUGGCGAGUGGCGAACGGGUGAGUAAUACAUCGGAACAUGUCCUGUAGUGGGGGAUAGCCCGGCGAAAGCCGGAUUAAUACCGCAUACGAUCUACGGAUGAAAGCGGGGGACCUUCGGGCCUCGCGCUAUAGGGUUGGCCGAUGGCUGAUUAGCUAGUUGGUGGGGUAAAGGCCUACCAAGGCGACGAUCAGUAGCUGGUCUGAGAGGACGACCAGCCACACUGGGACUGAGACACGGCCCAGACUCCUACGGGAGGCAGCAGUGGGGAAUUUUGGACAAUGGGCGAAAGCCUGAUCCAGCAAUGCCGCGUGUGUGAAGAAGGCCUUCGGGUUGUAAAGCACUUUUGUCCGGAAAGAAAUCCUUGGCUCUAAUACAGCCGGGGGAUGACGGUACCGGAAGAAUAAGCACCGGCUAACUACGUGCCAGCAGCCGCGGUAAUACGUAGGGUGCAAGCGUUAAUCGGAAUUACUGGGCGUAAAGCGUGCGCAGGCGGUUUGCUAAGACCGAUGUGAAAUCCCCGGGCUCAACCUGGGAACUGCAUUGGUGACU
This 583-nucleotide ribosomal RNA is filed under the name Burkholderia sp. RZ2MS4. RNAcentral describes it as "bacterial SSU rRNA". It matches the Rfam family "Bacterial small subunit ribosomal RNA", at positions 56 to 634 of the family's 1533-position model. The record is from RNAcentral. Lineage: Bacteria; Pseudomonadati; Pseudomonadota; Betaproteobacteria; Burkholderiales; Burkholderiaceae.